Molecule: ribosomal RNA, 477 nt
Filed under: uncultured bacterium
Lineage: Bacteria
Description: partial 16S ribosomal RNA
Rfam family: Bacterial small subunit ribosomal RNA
Source: RNAcentral
GACAAACGCUGGCGGCGUGCAUAACACAUGCAAGUCGAACGAUGAAGAUUAAAAGAUUUCUUCGGAAUGAACUGAAUUGGAUUAGUUGCGGACGGGUUAGUAACGCGUGGGUAACCUGCCUUGUACAAGGGGAUAGCCGUUGGAAACGACGAAUAAUACUCUAUGAUAUCAAAUAAUCGCAUGUUAAUUUGGUCAACGAUUUAUCGGCAGUUGAUGGACUCGCGUCUGAUUAGCUAGUUGGUAGAGGAAAAGCCGACCAAGGCCACGAUCAGUAGCCGGCUGGAGAGAGUGUACGACCACAUUGGGACUGAGACCCGGCCCCCACUCGUGCGAGCAGUGGGAAUGGGUGAUCUUGCACAGUGGGCCAAACGCAGCUGCGGCGCCGGCGGGUAGUUUAGAAUGCCUUCGGAUUGUGAAAAUGUUUUGUAUGAGAAGAAAAUGACAGUACCGUACGAAUAAGGACCGGCUAAUUACGUG